Molecule: ribosomal RNA, 611 nt
Filed under: Colletotrichum boninense
Lineage: Eukaryota; Fungi; Ascomycota; Sordariomycetes; Glomerellales; Glomerellaceae
Description: eukaryotic LSU rRNA
Rfam family: 5.8S ribosomal RNA (bases 250-403)
Source: RNAcentral
AGGAAGUAAAAGUCGUAACAAAGGUCUCCGUUGGUGAACCAGCGGAGGGAUCAUUACUGAGUUACCGCUCUAUAACCCUUUUGUGAACAUACCUACAACUGUUGCUUCGGCGGGUAGGCCGUCCCCUGAAAAGGACGCCUCCCGGCCCGGACCGGACCCCCCGCGGGACCGGACCCGGCGCCCGCCGGAGGAUAACCAAACUCUAUUGUAACGACGUUUCUUCUGAGUGGCAUAAGCAAAAUAAUCAAAACUUUUUAACAACGGAUCUCUUGGUUCUGGCAUCGAUGAAGAACGCAGCGAAAUGCGAUAAGUAAUGUGAAUUGCAGAAUUCAGUGAAUCAUCGAAUCUUUGAACGCACAUUGCGCCCGCCAGCAUUCUGGCGGGCAUGCCUGUUCGAGCGUCAUUUCAACCCUCAAGCUCUGCUUGGUGUUGGGGCUCUACGGUCGACGUAGGCCCUCAAAGGUAGUGGCGGACCCUCCCGGAGCCUCCUUUGCGUAGUAACAUUUCGUCUCGCACUGGGAUCCGGAGGGACUCUUGCCGUAAAACCCCCCCAAUUUUCCAAAGGUUGACCUCGGAUCAGGUAGGAAUACCCGCUGAACUUAAGCAUAUCA